ACACCAAAAAAAUAACAAAUAAAUAAAUAAAAAUGAUUUUAAGAGUGUUUGCUUCGCAAAGUAUAAACAACUUAAAUUUUCUUUUAAAAUAUGUAUAUAAUAAUAUUGUAAUAUUUCAUCAUCAAUUAAAAUAUUUUUUCACAUAUUUCUGAUGUCAUUGCUAUUCAAAUAUGAUUAGAUAUUGCCUAUUUAAAUAAUCAUUACUUUAAGGCUCCAUUCUAAUUCUAACUUAUUAACCCUAACCAUCUUUAUUUUUGUUACUAGAAAUUUUUUUUAGAUACUACUUGAUUGAAUAUGUCUAAUUAAAUGUUAUUUAUAAAACUAAUUUUCAAAAUUUGUAAAGGCAAAUUUAGAUUGGUAUAUAACUCUAGCAUUAAUUAAGUAAUAAGUAAAGAUGUUUAGAGGUUUAUUCAAGUAAUAACUAUAUUUUUAAAUUAACAUAACUUUUUAACUAAUAAUUUUAAAUUAAAUUCUAAUUCUCUCUAUUCUCUAAGAGUGCUUCGCCGUAAGUCCUAGUAGAGGCAGUUGUUUCUGUGGCUUGGGAUGGGGGAAAGCGGUGGCGACGUUAGAGAGCAGAGGGAUGAGAUUUCCCUUCUAUCUGAAGAGCUCAUGCAAUUAUCUGUUAAAGGCUCGAAGGUGGUUCCAAAUGAAAAACCAACCCUAAUCUGCACAAUUUGGACAGGUAAACUUUACAACCCUGAAAGUUUUAAAGCGCAAAUGAGGAGUGUCUGGAAAACAAAGAAAAAGUUUGAAAUUCAAUUGGCAGGUCAGAAUUUAUAUUUGAUUGUGUUUGAAUUGGAAGAAGAUCUGGAGUUGAUCAUGGAAGGUAGACCAUGGCUUUUUCGGAAAAGUUUAAUCUUAUUUGACAGGUUAACUCAUUCGGUGGAAAGAUCAAAGAUAUGUCUUAAUUCAUCUCCGGUCUGGCUAAAGAUAGGCCCAUGUUUACCAGAAUUUGGUAAAAAGGAUUUAUUACAUGCUAUAGGUGUUACAUUUGGAGGAGUCAUUAGAUCUGAAAUUAGUGGAGAAUGGUGUCGUCUCAAAAUUAAUCUAAAUGUACAUAAACCGCUUCGAAGAGGAAUCUUUGUCUCAUCAGAUAAUAGGAAUCAAUGGUGGAUUUCUUUUAAGUAUGAGAAAUUACCAUUAUUCUGUUUUGGCUGUGGACGAAUGGGUCAUGGACUUCCAGAAUGUAGUGUGCUGAGUACUGCAGAAAAAAAUAACAUUAAAGAGGAUCAUCCAUACACGAUGACAUUAAAAGCAGAAUCAAAAUUUGUUGGAAAGAAAGUUAUAAAAUUUAAUGAUUUUGCAAAGAAGGAUAGAACUCAAUGCUCUUAUACAGGUGAUUCUGAGUAUGUGAUGAUUGAAGAUAUAAUAAAUAGAAAAGUGAAUAAUUUGGAGGUGGGGGAAAAUGGGAGAUCACAAAUGAACGUGAAAGAGGAGAUGAUGAAGAACCAAGUGGUUGACGUUACAGUCAUGACUGAUGUAAAUAUGGUUGAUAAUAGGAGCAUCCCAAUAAUUAAUUCUAAUUCAGGAAAAAAAUGAGUUGGAAAAGAAUUAGCCCAGGUCAAAGGGGAAGUCUACGAGUGGAUGAAGGUGGUAUAAAGAAGAGGAAAGCUACGGAAGGAAGAGUGGAGUCUCUUAAUGCAGAAGAUGAAUAUGAUAGCACGAAACGACAGAAAAAAGAGCAAGAAAAGGACCUGGAAGAAUCGUUAACAGAAACGAUGAGUAAUAUUUUGGUUGAGAAUGAAGUUCAAUUAAUUAUGGGAUCGGCGGCUGCCAAGAGGCAAGCCGACCGAACGCAAUGAAAAGCAUCAGUUGGAAUGUUCGUGGAUUGGGGAGUCCACGAACAAUUAAAAGGCUGCGACAUUUCUUAAGGCAGCAUAAUCCCCAAAUGGUCUUCUUAUUGGAGACAAAAAUUAACAAGCAAUGCAUGGAAAAAGUCAGAAGAAGUUGCGGGUUUCUAAACGAAAUUGAGGUUGCUGCGGAGGGUUCCUGAGGUGGACUAUGUUUAGCUUGGAAAGGAGAUAUUUUAGUCACAUUGAGAAGCUUUUCCGAAAGUCAUAUUGAUGUUAUGCAGAAUGAAGAGAUUGAUAAUGUAGAGUGGAGAUUCAUAGGAUUCUAUGGACCCCCUUAUGUAAAAGAUAAAGAGGAGUCUUGGAACCUUUUACGGAAAUUGGGAUAGGAUCAGGUACACCCGUGGCUUGUAACUGGGGAUUUCAAUGAAAUUAUGUAUUCUUUCGAGAAGAAAGGAGGGAUUAUAAGAGAAGAAAGAAGAAUGGAGGCUUUCAGAAAGACCCUAGAGGAAUGUCAAUUAGAAGAUCUGGGGUAUACAGGGGCUUGGUUCACAUGGGAAAGAGGGAAUCUGCCUGAAACAAACAUCAAAGAAAGAUUGGAUAAAGGAGUUGCAAACGACAAAUGGAGAAAUCUUUUCCCAAACGGUAACAUUCAACAUUUAAUUCACUCGAUGUCUGAUCACUGUCCAAUUUUACUCAAUACAAGAAAUGGUACUGAUUAUGUGGGGAGGCAAAGGUUUAAAUUUGAGGCAUGGUGGAUUAUGGAAGAGUCUUUAGAAGGAAAAAUUAAAACAUCUUGGGAUACACCAGCUGAUUCUUUAAUGGAGAAAAUGGAAAUGCUUCAAUCGAAUUUAUUGGUAUGGGCAGAACAAAUUAGGAAAAGUGGUGAAGGGUUAAAGAAAAGGCUAAAAAGAACCUAGAGAUGCUGUUGGAGGAAGAAAGCAAUGACGAUGUGUUGGCAAAGAUUAUUGAUACGAAGGUGCAUCUAAAUUUAGAAAUUGACAAAGAUGAAAGGUAUUGGGAGCAAAGUGCAAAAGCAAACUGGCUUAAAGUUGGGGAUAAGAAAACAAGUUUCUUUCAUAAGUAUGCUUCAGCUCGUCGAAAAAGAAACAAUAAUUCGAGGCUUGAUUUAGGAGGUGGAGGAGAGGUGACUGAGGAGGAUAUGAUCAGUGAGGCUGCGAAGACAUUUUUUCAAGAGCUGUUUACAACAAAAGGGGUAGGAGAUUUAUCUCAUCUCUUAACAUGAAAAAUCAUGUCAGACAUGAACACAGGUUUAACGGAAAAAUUCACGGCAGAAGAAGUGUUUUCAGCCUUGAGAGGAAUGGGACCUACGAAAGCGCCAGGACCUGAUGGAUUUCUAGCACUUUUCUUUCAGUAAUACUGGCAUAUUGUAGGGGAAGAAGUUACCAGUUUUUGCCUUGACUGUUUGAACAGGGGUAAAACUCUUGGCCCUUCAACUCAACCAAAAUUAUAUUGAUUCCAAAAAUCCAGAAUCCCAAAAAUUUAUCAAUUUUCAAACCAAUUUGUUUAUGCACAGUUAUAUAUAAACUAGUUGCAAAGACAAUUGCAAAUCGACUUCAUAGGGUUAUUGGGCAGUGUAUUGAUGUGGCGCAGAGUGCUUUCGUCCCAGGUAGAUUAAUUUCUGAUAAUAUUUUAAUUGCUUAUGAACUCCUCCAUACUUUUAGAAGGAAACGUACAGGAAAAAAAGGCUUUAUGGCAGCUAAGCUCAAUAUGAGCAAAGCCUAUGACAGAGUUGAGUGGAGGUUUCUUAGAGAGGUGAUGCUGAAAAUGGGUUUUGUUGUUGAAUGGGUUGACUUAAUUAUGAAAUGUAUUUCUUCAACAUCUUUUGCAGUCAACAUUAAUGGGAAAAGGGGGGAAAUUUUCCAAUCUUCUAGAGGGUUACACUAGGGGGAUCCCCUCAGUCCAUUCCUUUUCUUAAUAUGCAGUAAGGGGCUUUCAGCAUUAAUGAAAUUGUCAUUAAAAGAAGGUAAGUUGAAAGGGGUAAGAGCAAGCAGGAAAGGUCCAGGGAUAUCACAUUUGCUAUUCGCGGAUGAUUGUAUACUGUUCACUAAAGCUAGCACUAAGGGAGUGAGAGUGCUAAAAGGAGUUCUGAAGGAAUACGAAGACUGCUCUGGUCAGUGCGUUAAUUUUAAAAAAUCCACGAUUUUUUUCAGCUCAAAUACAUCAAAGAAACAAGAGGUGAAAUUUUAGGCAGUUUAGGGUUAAGAGGGUCAACAGAUAUAGAAAAGUAUUUAGGUCUUCCUAAAAUGAUUGGAACGUAAAAAUGAGUCCUUUCAAUAUCUAAAGGAUAAAGUCAAUUCCAGAAUCAAAGAUUGGAGCAUUAGAUGGCUUUCACAAGGAGGAAAGGAAGUUUUUAUUAAAUCAAUUUUACAGGCCAUUCCGACUUAUGCUAUGUCAUGUUUUCUUCUUCCUAACUCCCUAUGUGGAGAACUGGAAAAAAUCUUUGCUAAUUUCUGGUGGCAAAAGAAGCAAGGGCAAAAAGGGAUCCAUUGGUGCAAAUGGGAGCAUAUGUGUAGAGGCAAAGAAGGAGGGUUAGGCUUCAGGAGUUUGGCCAAAUUUAAUAUCUCUCUACUAGCUAAACAAGGGUGGAGAAUACUUACCAAUCCAAGCUCACUGGUCUCACAAGUUUUAAAAGCAAAAUAUUUUCCAGAAACUAAUUUCUUAAACUCGCGUCUUGGGAAUAAUUGCUCUUACACAUGGAAGAGUAUAUGGGCUACUAGGGGUAUUCUAUCAGAAGGAUUAUGCUGGAAAGCGGGGAAUGGGAGUAAAAUUUCGAUUACGAAUGAUAGUUGGAUACCAAAUUAUGCCAGUUUAUCAUCGCAUUUUAAUUUACGUGAUUGUAAAGUUACAGAUCUAAUUGAUAAAAGUAAGAGGAAGUGGAAGCAGGAAUUGAUUGAGUCUACCUUUCCAAUGGAGAUAGCUGAGAGAAUCCUCUGCAUUCCGCUUGCUAAAGAGCCUCACAAAGAUUUUCCAGCCUGGAGGGGAGAGUCCUCAGGAGAGUUUACCGUGAGAAGCGCCUGUAAACUAUUACAGGGCAAUGAAAAUAAUCCUAGGGCUUAUGCCUUACAAACUGAAACUAGGAAUUUUUACAAAAAUAUCUGGCUCCUAAAUCUACCUUCGAAGAUAAAAAUUACAAUUUGGCAAAUAGCCUAGAAUUAUAUUCCAACGUGGGUGAAUCUGCACUACAGAAGACUCCUAAGUCAAACAACAUGUUCUGGGUGUGGUAGAGCAGCAGAAACCACAAAUCACAUCUUUCGUGAGUGUCCUGUGGCAACGAAAGUAUGGGAAGAUUUAUCACUCUCGAAGAUUUUACAUGAACCCUAUAUGGAAUUUUUAAAGUGGCUUACCUGGGUUUUCGAAUAGAAUAGUCCCAAUAUGCGUAGGGUAUUUUGUUGUGCUCUUUGGGCAAUCUGGGGAGAACGGAAUAAAAGAGUACAUGAGAAGGUUAGUAGAUCUGGGACAGAAAUUGCAGGUUUUGUACAGAGAUAUAUUUCAGAGCUCAAGGGGAUCGAAGAAAAAGCUCCAAAAAGUAUAAAAGAAGGUAGAAUGUGGAAACAACCACCUGGUCAGUUUGUAAAGAUUAACUUUGACGUAGCCUUUGAUGAGAAUGUUCGACAAUCGGCAGUGGGAAUUGUGGCCAGAGACAGUCAAGGAAAUGCCCUUUUAUCUAGUACAGAGCUUCAUCACCAAGUAGCAUCAGCCUUUGCCGCAGAAGCAAUAGCUUGCAGGACAGCAACUCGCAUCGGUAUGAACAUGCAAUGGCCAAAUAUUAUUAUCGAAGGUGAUGCACUUUCAAUCAUUAAGAAAUGCAAAACACAAGCAAAUGACAGAUCAAGGGUUGGAGCAUAUAUUCGAGAUAUUCAUCAGUUACUAAUAAAAUAAAAAAGACACUAUUUUGAGCACACACCUAGAGAGGCAAAUAGUCUGGCUCAUAUGCUAGCAAGGGAGGCAUUAAAGAAAAAGGAAGAAAUUUACCUGAUUGGCACAGUUCUGGAUUAUGCCGAGCGACUAAAGGAAAAUGAACGGAAGGGAGUACAAAGAAGCAGAUGAAAUGAAUGACACAAAUCUUAGAGGCUGAAAAAGGGGAAACCCAAAAGUUUGAAUGAAACAACCUCAUUGAUAUCCGAGAAACGUCUUACUGAAGAAAUGAAAAAUGGAUUUGAAAAUACGGGGAAGGAUUUGGUUCUGAUUGGGCAUGGUAGCAGUGCAUUUAAUAGGUUCUAGAGGUUUCUGUUUAAAGUUUUUUUUAAGUUUUAAAAUUUAAAGUUAAUGGGAGAACGGUUUUAUGGGUUUUGAUUUGCUUUUCGGGCUUGAGUAAUAGGCCUUAGUAUAGGGUUCAUUUUAGUAUAGGACUUUUGUGAUGAUUUGCUUGAUUUUAGUAAUAAAG
RNAcentral lists this long non-coding RNA (6198 nucleotides) under Gossypium barbadense (sea-island cotton). Its description in RNAcentral is "long non-coding RNA (GBAR_LNC013453)". The record is from RNAcentral. Lineage: Eukaryota; Viridiplantae; Streptophyta; Magnoliopsida; Malvales; Malvaceae.